CCUACGGGUGGCAGCAGUGAGGAAUAUUGGUCAAUGGACGAGAGUCUGAACCAGCCAAGUAGCGUGAAGGAUGACUGCCCUAUGGGUUGUAAACUUCUUUUAUAAAGGAAUAAAACGAGGCACGUGUGCCUUUUUGCAUGUACUUUAUGAAUAAGGAUCGGCUAACUCCGUGCCAGCAGCCGCGGUAAUACGGAGGAUCCGCGCGUUAUCCGGAUUUAUUUGGUUUAAAGGAAGCGUAGAUGGGUUGUUAAGUCAGUUGUGAAAGUUUGCGGCUCAACCGUAAAAUUGCAAUUGAUACUGGCAGUCUUGAGUACAGUUGAGGUAGGCGGAAUUCGUGGUGUAGCGGUGAAAUGCUUAGAUAUCACGAAGAACCCCGAUUGCGAAGGCAGCUUACUAAACUGUGACUGACAUUGAUGCUCGAAAGUGUGGGUAUCAAACAGGAUUAGAUACCCUUGUAGUC
Molecule: ribosomal RNA, 460 nt
Filed under: uncultured bacterium
Lineage: Bacteria
Description: partial 16S ribosomal RNA
Rfam family: Bacterial small subunit ribosomal RNA
Source: RNAcentral